Molecule: small nuclear RNA, 203 nt
Organism: Macaca fascicularis (crab-eating macaque)
Lineage: Eukaryota; Metazoa; Chordata; Mammalia; Primates; Cercopithecidae
Gene: U2
Rfam family: U2 spliceosomal RNA
About the family: U2 is a small nuclear RNA (snRNA) component of the spliceosome (involved in pre-mRNA splicing).
Source: Ensembl
ACUGCUUCUCGGCCCUUUGGCUAAGAUCAAGUGUAGUGUCUGUUCUUACCAGUUUAAUAAUGGAUCAUGGCGGUGUUUCCUACUGAGUGCAAAGAGAGUCUUGGGAACUUUCUUAACACAGCAGUCACUUUCAAUUGCCAACCUUGUUUUAAAAAAGAAGCACCAGCACUCCCUGAAAUCAUUCUCUGUUUUUCUUACUCUAU